CGGCCCAAUUGAUAGUGUGGGUGGAAGGGCAGUGGGCGCUUGAUGUGUCCUAAAAAACAUAGCACCUGAUCCUUCCAAAUCAAAACUAAGCCUUUCUCUUCCAAUCAAAACUAACACAAUAGAAAGAAUAUCUGUUCCUCACUUGAUUCGUCUCUCAGGAAACCCUAAAACAUGUCCGGCGGUUUUUUCCGGGGCACUUCUGCCGAGCAGGACACUCGGUUCUCUAAUAAGCAAGCUAAGCUGUUGAAAUCUCAGAAGUUCGCUCCUGAAUUGGAAAAUCUGGUGGACAUGACAAAGGUGAAGAUGGAUGUAAUGAAACCAUGGAUUGCUAAGCGAGUUACCGAGCUUAUCGGUUUUGAAGAUGAAGUGCUUAUCAAUUUCAUUUAUAGUCUUCUUGAACGAAAGGUUGUUAAUGGCAAGGAGGUUCAAAUUUCACUUACAGGAUUCAUGGAAAGAAACACUGGCAAAUUUAUGAAAGAGCUUUGGGUGCUACUACUUAGUGCACAGAACAAUGCGAGCGGUGUUCCUCAGCAGUUCCUAGAAGCCAAAGAAGAGGAAAUGAUGAAGAAGAAGGCUGAGAUGGAUCGGAUUGCUAACGAGAUUCAGAAGAAAAAGGAGAGAGAGAAUAGGGAGCUGGAUCAAGAGAAAAGGAAGAAAAUGGACGAUUAUGGCAGCAAUUCGAGAGAGAAAAAUGCUGAACGAGAGCCAACUCCAAAACAUCAGGUUCUGGUGCGCUUGAUUGAUGAUUUAGACCCUGUUGAGAGAAAUGGAUCAAGAAUAAGAAACAGGGUCUCUAAGUCCCCACGUUCAAUAGAUCAUUCACCCUCCCCCAGGAGAUCAAGGUCAAUCAGCAAGUCAUUCUCUAGUUCGAGGAGUUACUCUAGUGAAAGGCACAGGACACGAAGUACAUCUCGAUCUCCUGGAGAAAGGAGAGGUCACUCUCUUUCAUCUGAAAGGGUAUAUCCCGCUCCACCAAGGUGUUCUGUUUCACCUUGUAGGAUACAUUCACCUCGACGAUCCCUUUCUCCACCUAGGCACAGACAGAGUUCAACCUCUCGAUUACGUCGAAGGUCACCGUCUCCUGUGCGAUACCGAAGACGCUCUCCAUUCAGACGUAGAUCGAGGUCUCCACGUCGACGUAAAUCAAGGUCUCCACUUCGACGUAGAUCAAGGUCUCCUCUUCGACACAGAUCGAGGUCUCCUCUUCGACGUAGAUCGAGGUCUCCCAUUCGGCGUAGAUCACGAUCCCCUAUGUGGUGUAGGUCAAGGUCUCCAAGUAGACUCUCACCAAUGCGAUACAGAUCAAAGUCACCUAUUAGAUGUCAAUCACCACUCCGACAUAGAGCACCAUCUCCAACGCGACAUAGGUCCCCUUCUCUAACAAGUCUGGGGUAUCACCGAUCUCCUUUGAGUCCUCGGCGAAGUUCUCCAUUUCUAGCUAAGCGAAAGUCCUCCAUUUCUGUUAGGAAGAGAUCCUUAACCCCUGUGAGGUCUCUUUUUCCUCAAGAAUUAGUUUUGCCCUCACCCAUUUUCUGUAGGUCUCCUUCACCAAUCAGAAAGAGAAUAUUGAAGAAUGAAAGAUCACCAGUUCGUUCUCAUCGGGGAAGGAUAAGGGGCCGCGACAAAUACUCCCCUGUUCAACAUGCUUCUCCAGUAAAAACUGAGGCCCAUAAAGGAUCCAGAUCUUUGGAACGUAGACGUCCUAUUUCUCCUAGGUCACUGCAGAAUAUAUAUGACCGUAAGGAUUCACGGGAAAAAGAGCUGCUUUUGCCUCAGCUGAGCUGGUCACCAUCUGUUCCAGAACCUCCACAUCGCUCCAGAUCUGACUCAGAAUCUCCACCAACCAAAAGGGAAAGGAAUCCUAGUGAAGAUAGAGGGCCAAGGAGCACUUCAAACCGGAGGGAGAGAAAGAUGAUGGACACUGACAGCCCUAGUCCAAGUAAAUUGAGAGAGUGCAGAGUUAGUUCUGACAUUUCUGAGAAAAUUGCAGCUGAGAAAGAAAUGAACCGUUCAAGGGAGGCUUUUGAGCAUAGACCUAGGUCUUCAAGAAAAAUUCUCACAACACACGAUCCAUAUAAAGAUCUUGGAAAGGGGUGGGAUGAGAGAGAAUGUUCUGAAAUUCAUAGCCAUUCAGAUCACCUGGAUUCGAGAAAGCUAAAUGAAGUGAUUAACAGAGAAAUAUUGACAGGAAGGAUGGAGCACACAAAGGAACUGGAUCAACAAAAGUCACCAUCAGCUCAUAGACACUCUCCUUCAAUUAAGAGGUUAAAGGAAUCAUAUGAUGGGGAGAGUUUCAAAACAGAUAAGGAAAACCUGUCUCACACAAAUGAUAAGGGCAAAGAGCUACAUGUUGAGUUAGAAGCCCCCCUCACUUCAUCAAGGAAAGUUGAGCAGAAUGAUCUAAGUAGUAACAAGGGUUCUGGUUUCGAGGAAAGUGAAAAGCGUAGAACUAAAGAUAAGGAAAAAAGAAAGCAUAAGAGGUCUGACAGAUAUGACUCAACGUCAGAUGAUAGUUUUGAUUCUUAUGUUGAGGAUAGGAAGGAGGCUAAAAGGAGGAGGAAAGAGGAGAGAAAAUUGAAGAAAGAGGAGAAGCGUCGCCGGCGGGAGGAGAGGCGGCGCAGAAAGCUGAAUUGCAUAAAAGAGGGUUUCCUGAGCUAGUGUCUUGAACUCAACUUUAUGCUGACCUACCUGCUAAACCUUCUGAUCAUUACCUUGUCUACUAGAUGACCUCGUUGAGCAGACCCGUGCAGCUCCAUAUGUGGAUCUCCAAUACAGCUUGAAUUCCUCUCCAGAAUGUGAUUAGCCUUUUCAUGGUGAUCUGAGUUCCUGUUCAUUUUUAUCAGUGUUUGUAUCAGCAGUUAAGACAAUACUGGUGCAGUAUACUCUACUUGAAAUCCAUGUAGAGCUGUAGAAGUGAACCUUUGUCCCCCCACCCCACUUUAGAACCUUCUAGAUACUGUCUUCAUGCUUUUUGAUUGUUCCUAGGUUUAGUUUGAUAUGUUGUGUCAAAUCUUUUAAUCCUGCCCAGCUGGUUUUUAUCAAACUAUUCCAUGCAUGUAGGUGUGUGCUUAUGUAUAUCAGGAUAACUUGCAUUGAUUAUACCAUAUGGGAUGAGUUCAAUAUGGAUAUCACUUCUAUCUGAGGGGCAACCUUUCCUUUACCUCCUCGAAGAAGCUAAAUUCUUUGAUAUCAUAAACAUAAGCAUAAAGGUUUCUCAAGGAUUCUAGAGGAAUGGAAGGGUGUAAGGAAGAUAACAAGUGAAAGACUUCUUAUGCUUUAAUGGACAAAUGAGGAUGAGAGAUAAUCCGGGGAAGCAGUGGGAGAACAACUAGAUCUUUUGUUUUUAUCCCAGGUGCAACCUUCCCUUCACCUCCCAUAUCUAUUUGGAAGAAGCUUAAUUGUUUAGUAUCAUAAACAUAAGCAUAAAGGUUUUGUCAAGGAUUCUAGAUUGGAAGGGAUAUGCAAAAGGAAGGUAAGGUAUCUCAAGGAUUCUAGAGUGGGAGGGGCAUGUAAAGGAAGGUAAGACUUUUUAUGCUUUGAUGAACAAUGGGGGAUAGAGAUAAUCUUUAGCCAAGGGGGAGGCAAAAGGAGGAUUACCUGCAUCUUUUGUUUUUAUUCAGACAAUGUACUAUGAAAACCUUUUGGAUGUCCAGCAAGAGACAUGAUAUUAGCUGUUAGAUUAUUAUUCCAUGGUUGUAAUUGCAUAGAUACUUGUUUCUUACUUCCAUCAGGGGCAGGGAGUCAUUUUCUUCA
This is an RNA transcript of Capsicum annuum, 3753 nucleotides long. It is a transcript of the gene named serine/arginine repetitive matrix protein 1, with no coding region annotated. The record is from RefSeq and is a predicted model, not a curated record. The transcript has 16 exons. Lineage: Eukaryota; Viridiplantae; Streptophyta; Magnoliopsida; Solanales; Solanaceae.